Molecule: long non-coding RNA, 988 nt
Filed under: Equus caballus (horse)
Lineage: Eukaryota; Metazoa; Chordata; Mammalia; Perissodactyla; Equidae
Description: lncRNA (ENSECAG00000050258.1)
Source: RNAcentral
AAUCUUAAAGCCCUCUACCAUCACCUAUAAAUAAGUCCCAAUCCUAGAACAGUCUACGAGGCUCAUGAUGAUCACACUGACCUCUCCAGCUGGAUCCCGGGCCACAUCCUCCUCACACUUUACACGCUAGUAAACCAGAUCUGCUUUUCAUCCUCAUGAGGAAGACUCAUCUAUUGCUUUCCUGGGGCUGCCAUAACAAACUACCAGAAACUGGCUUAAAACAACAGAAAUUUAUUCUCUCACGAAGUCUGAAGUCAAGGUAUCAGGGCCAGCUCCCUCUGCAGGCCCGAGAAGAGGAUCCUUCCUUGCCUCUUCCAGCUUCUGGUCGUUCACAAUCCUUGGUGUUCCUCAGUUUUUUAAUUUGCAAAGCCACAGCAGGGCCUCCUAGGAGGGCAGAGGAGAAAGUGUUUUCCUGCCACACAUGUGUCAAAUGGGAGUAAAUGAUUUGGAGAAAAAUAAGCUGAGGGUAUCCUGAGGGCUAUAGAAGUUGCCUAAUAAGGCUUGCUUGGUGUCUUCGUAGACCUUGCAGUUGGCGGUGAAUACAGAUGAGUAACCAGAAGAUGAUACUACCUAUGUGAGCACAGGAGAAUGCACAGACUGCUGAAGAAGCACAUAGGCAUGUCGUGCAGGCGACAAAAUCGGCCAGAUCCUGGAAUGCCCUGUGCUACGAUGUCUUGCCUCCACUAACGCCCUGACCCAAGCCAAGAGGAGACAAAAAUCCGCCACUAUAUUCCCUUAACACAGCUGUUUCAAGACAAGACUCUCUUGACGAGACUUUACAAAGGGUUAUAGGAUCAGAGUGAAAUAAACACAGAGGAGCAAUGUCUAGAAUCCGUCUCGUCCAGUAUGGUAACCACCAGUCACAUAGCCCUGGUGGUUUAGAUUUGGUGCUUUCACAGCCAUGGCCAGGGUUUGUUUCCAGGUGAGGGAACCACACCACCCUCUGUUGGUUAUACUGUGGCAGCUGUGUGUUGCUGUGACGCUGAAA